This 253-nucleotide ribosomal RNA is filed under the name uncultured bacterium. RNAcentral describes it as "partial 16S ribosomal RNA". It matches the Rfam family "Bacterial small subunit ribosomal RNA", at positions 524 to 776 of the family's 1533-position model. The record is from RNAcentral.
CACGUAGGGAGCAAGCGUUGUCCGGAUUUAUUGGGCGUAAAGCGCUCGCAGGUGGUUCGUCGCGUCGUGCGUGAAAGACCCCGGCUCAACUGGGGAGUGUCGUGCGAUACGGGCGAACUGGAGGCCAGUAGGGGGAUGCGGAAUUCCGGGUGUAGUGGUGGAAUGCGUAGAGAUCCGGAGGAACACCAGCGGCGAAGGCGGCAUCCUGGACUGGUCCUGACACUCAGGAGCGAAAGCGUGGGGAGCGAUCCGG